GGCUGAGUGCUAGGGAAGGUGCUGUGGAGAGCUGAGCCACUUUAUGGUAGAGGGAGAGGGAUUUGGAGUUUGUGGGUGCUCUGGAUGGAACACUGACAAGGGGAGAGGGAGAACGUGAGGAGUGGGAGUCUGCUGAUCGCAUGGAACAUGAAAGACCUUUCUUCUUUUUUUAAAAAUAUUUAUUAAUUUAUUCCCUUUUUGUUGCCCUUGUUGUUUUAUUGUUGUAGUUAUUGUUGUUGUUAUUGAUGUCCUUGUUGUUGGAUAUGACAGAGAGAAAUGGAGAGAGGAGGGAAGACAGAGAGGGAGAGAGAAAGACAGACACCUGCAGACCUGCUUCACUGCCUGUGAAGCGACUCCCCUGCAGGUGGGGAGCCGGGGGCUCGAACUGGGAUUUUUACGCUGGUCCUUGCGCUUUGUACCACGUGCGCUUAACCCGCUGUGCUACAGCCCAAUUCCCCAUGAAAGACCUUUCUAUGUAGUCCCUGCAGCCUCAGCAAGUCUACAGCAUGAAUAUGUCUUCUAUUUUUUUUUUUUUAGUGUUUCCCUAGAAUAUAACAUUGGGGGAAUGCUAUUACUGGACCAUAGGGUAGGGAUUUCUCUGUGGUUCUUGUUAAACAGUUUUCCCCAAGGAUGCUAAGGAUUAUGCUGUUUUUAGUGUUUCUCUCUGCGGGGAGAUUGGAGUGAACUUCAGUUUCCUGAGAUGUGCAUUGGGACACGGGGCUGACGACAUUCACAACGCUCACACUGGUCACGCCAAAGGCUGGUGUGCAGACGUGCGAGGAAUGGGGAAGAGUGAGCAGAGCUAAGUGGGCAGACAAGCCCCUUUCUAUCAGCUUCCUGAAGCUGGACUGGACCCUUAUCUAAGCACCUCAGACUCCGGGAAGAAGCAAUGGUGGCUGACUGACAGUUGUUGGGGAAACCCUCCGGAAGUGACUGGGAUCGUCUGUGGGGCCCGUUGGCCUCCUGCUCUCUGACUUAAGUCCACGUAGCUGCCAGUCGUUUCCUGCCGCUCUGCCCUGAUGCCCUGACUCUCGGCGGCCUCUCUGAGUGCACUGAACCCGACUCCUGAGAACUGAGCCCGGCAGGCAUGUGAAUGUCCCCAUCCCCCCUUCUUGAUUCUUCCUGCCGGCUGGGCUGUGACUACCAGUCCUUGGUGGCCCCUUAGUGGCCACCUGGGGAGCCACGGAAUAGCGUGUCACCCCCUGCCACGUGUACUGACAGCAGCAGGUCAGGCAUGUUCAUCAGUAGACUUAGUAGAAUACAACUUCCAGGCACAGCUCA
Long non-coding RNA from Erinaceus europaeus (western European hedgehog), 1281 nucleotides. RefSeq lists it as uncharacterized. The transcript has 2 exons. The record is from RefSeq and is a predicted model, not a curated record. NCBI's taxonomy places the organism in Eukaryota, Metazoa, Chordata, Mammalia, Eulipotyphla, Erinaceidae.